UACGUAGGGGGCGAGCGUUAUCCGGAAUUAUUGGGCCUAAAGCAUCCGUAGCCGGUUCUACAAGUCUUCCGUUAAAUCCACCUGCUUAACAGAUGGGCUGCGGAAGAUACUAUGGAGCUAGGAGGCGGGAGAGGCAAGCGGUACUCGAUGGGUAGGGGUAAAAUCCGUUGAUCCAUUGAAGACCACCAGUGGCGAAGGCGGCUUGCCAGAACGCGCUCGACGGUGAGGGAUGAAAGCUGGGGGAGCAAACCGG
This 253-nucleotide ribosomal RNA is filed under the name uncultured bacterium. RNAcentral describes it as "partial 16S ribosomal RNA". It matches the Rfam family "Bacterial small subunit ribosomal RNA", at positions 524 to 776 of the family's 1533-position model. The record is from RNAcentral.